Molecule: long non-coding RNA, 745 nt
Organism: Ornithorhynchus anatinus (platypus)
Lineage: Eukaryota; Metazoa; Chordata; Mammalia; Monotremata; Ornithorhynchidae
Exons: 3
Source: RefSeq, a predicted model, not a curated record
UACCUAGAGGCUGGUGGCAUGCAGUGGCUUCUAUUCAGGAAUCAAUAGGCCAGGCCGGGACAGCGCUUUCCCACAUUGCAGCCUGUGAAGGAGAGGAAUCCUUAGAGCCGACCAUCUGCUCUUUGUCUUUCUGUGAGAGACCUUGGGUCCAGCUCAGCUCUGAUCUGACUUCAAUCUGACUGGAAUGGGGCUGAUCCGAGAAGACUCUCAAAGCUGUGAAAGGUUUCAAGUACGAAGAAACUAAUGACUUCAUUAUCAUCUCAAUUCUGGGAAAAGCUGGCUCCCGGACCUGCGUCCUGAAAGGAAAGAUCGCGGGCCCUUCCUCCUCGAAUUCACAGCCGAAGAGAGGGAAGCCAGGAGUUUGCGUUUCAGAAAGCGUGAGACUUCGAGAAGCCCUCGUGAAAAUUUGCCCGAUUGGAUCCAAUUUUAAACUUGGACGUUUCUCCGUGUGAACCCGGUUGUACGCUGCUAACGCGGAAACGUUCUUGUCCUUUGGGGGGAAGCUUUCUCCAGUUUUCUAAGAAAUGUAGGGGCUAGUCACUGCCUCCCUUCCCCAGUUACCCGUGGGCCGGGGAGGGGUGGCGGAGGGGGAGAACCAAGGAGCGUGACCAGCUGAAGAUGACACUGAAGCAGGUUCUUGGGGUAGCAGGAAGGGGAUUUCAGUCCCAUAUUCCGUGGGAAGCAACGUGCCCUUGUAGAUAGACCAGGGGCCUGGAAGCCAGAAGGACCUAGGUGUUAAUCCUGA